RNAcentral lists this ribosomal RNA (141 nucleotides) under Neobacillus bataviensis. RNAcentral describes it as "Bacillus bataviensis partial 23S ribosomal RNA". It matches the Rfam family "Bacterial large subunit ribosomal RNA", at positions 2786 to 2925 of the family's 2925-position model. Lineage: Bacteria; Bacillati; Bacillota; Bacilli; Caryophanales; Bacillaceae. RNAcentral also lists the same sequence under 1 other name. The record is from RNAcentral.
CAUGAAGCCCCCCUCAAGAUGAGAUUUCCCAUAGCGUCAAGCUAGUAAGAUCCCUGAAAGAUGAUCAGGUUGAUAGGUCAGAGGUGGAAGCAUGGUGACAUGUGGAGCUGACUGAUACUAAUCGAUCGAGGACUUAACCAA